Molecule: ribosomal RNA, 741 nt
Filed under: Rothia mucilaginosa
Lineage: Bacteria; Bacillati; Actinomycetota; Actinomycetes; Micrococcales; Micrococcaceae
Description: bacterial SSU rRNA
Rfam family: Bacterial small subunit ribosomal RNA
Source: RNAcentral
GACGAACGCUGGCGGCGUGCUUAACACAUGCAAGUCGAACGAUGAAGCCUAGCUUGCUAGGUGGAUUAGUGGCGAACGGGUGAGUAAUACGUGAGUAACCUACCUUUAACUCUGGGAUAAGCCUGGGAAACUGGGUCUAAUACCGGAUACGACCAAUCUCCGCAUGGGGUGUUGGUGGAAAGCGUUAUGUAGUGGUUAUAGAUGGGCUCACGGCCUAUCAGCUUGUUGGUGAGGUAACGGCUCACCAAGGCGACGACGGGUAGCCGGCCUGAGAGGGUGACCGGCCACACUGGGACUGAGACACGGCCCAGACUCCUACGGGAGGCAGCAGUGGGGAAUAUUGCACAAUGGGCGCAAGCCUGAUGCAGCGACGCCGCGUGAGGGAUGACGGCCUUCGGGUUGUAAACCUCUGUUAGCAGGGAAGAAGAGAAAUUGACGGUACCUGCAGAGAAAGCGCCGGCUAACUACGUGCCAGCAGCCGCGGUAAUACGUAGGGCGCGAGCGUUGUCCGGAAUUAUUGGGCGUAAAGAGCUUGUAGGCGGUUUGUCGCGUCUGCUGUGAAAGGCCGGGGCUUAACCCCGUGUAUUGCAGUGGGUACGGGCAGACUAGAGUGCAGUAGGGGAGACUGGAACUCCUGGUGUAGCGGUGGAAUGCGCAGAUAUCAGGAAGAACACCGAUGGCGAAGGCAGGUCUCUGGGCUGUAACUGACGCUGAGAAGCGAAAGCAUGGGGAGCGAACAGG